AGCAGUCGCCGCGGGAAUACGAAGGGGGCUAGCGUUGCUCGGAAUUACUGGGCGUAAAGGGCGCGUAGGCGGAUAUUUAAGUUGGGGGUGAAAGCCCGGGGCUCAACCUCGGAAUUGCCUUCAAUACUGGAUAUCUUGAGUUCGGGAGAGGUGAGUGGAAUGCCGAGUGUAGGGGUGAAAUUCGUAGAUAUUCGGCGGAACACCAGUGGCGAAGGCGACUCACUGGCCCGAUACUGACGCUGAGGCGCGAAAGCGUGGGGAGCAAACAGGAUUAGAUACCCCAGUAGUCCCUGUCUCUUAUAC
Molecule: ribosomal RNA, 303 nt
Filed under: uncultured bacterium
Lineage: Bacteria
Description: partial 16S ribosomal RNA
Rfam family: Bacterial small subunit ribosomal RNA
Source: RNAcentral